RNAcentral lists this long non-coding RNA (4499 nucleotides) under Nicotiana tabacum (common tobacco). RNAcentral's name for it is "long non-coding RNA (NTAB_LNC007292)". Lineage: Eukaryota; Viridiplantae; Streptophyta; Magnoliopsida; Solanales; Solanaceae. The record is from RNAcentral.
UUAACUCAAAAAGAUCUGAUAAAUAAGGGAUUUUGAAUAAUUAAAAUGAAAGCAUCUAAAUGCAAUCAUGAUCAUAGAAAUGCAAUCCAAAAAUCAAGAGUCUACUAGCAUGUGCCAAGACCCAGAGUCACAAGUGUAUGGGCAAUUCUAGCAACAUAUACAAAAGAUUACUAGUCUAUCGUCUGAAAUGAAAUAGACAGGUAUAUAUAACAAAAGGAAGACUUUAGUUGCUGCAGUACAGCUCGGAAGGGCAACUCAUCGUGUAGUCUUGUAGGGGGAUCAAAUAUGCAUACCGGACUGGUAACCAGAUGUACCUGCCUCAGAUUCUGUACAAUUAAGAACAUAAGCGUAGUAUGCGUAUAUAAACAAUAUGUACCCAGUAAGUAUCCAGUCUAACCUCGAAGAAGUAGCGACGAGAGGUCGACUUUGACACUUACUAUGGGCUAACAAUAAUAUAUUAAAAAUGUUAUACUAAGCAUGGGUUUCAUGAAUAAUACUAAAAUCUCAAUAACAUGAAAUAAUAAGUUCUUCUUUCACAAAUAUCAAAUCCCAAGUUCAGUUUUAUCAUUUAACUAUUGGCAUUUCAAGACAUUUAAAAAAUAUUAAUUAUGAGGAGUUCCAAUGAACUUUUAUACACAAAUUAUGCCGAGGUCGUACGGCCCGAUCCAACAUAGUAUGUAAAUUGUGCACUGUCAAGGGUCGAACAACACGAACCAUAGAUGCAUCUAUCUGCUACCGAGGCGUUCGUCCCACUCCACAAAUAGAAAACAUUUUAAAUAAAACACAUAUUCUCAUAUUUAGUCAAGUGUCUCAUUCGUAACUUCAAGUAAAUAAAUUUUACCUUUUAAAAUUUAUCUUAUCAGCUUCCAAUAUGACUUAAGAAAUUAAAUCAACAAGUAGAGAUGCAAACAUUUUAAAUAAAACAUGGUACGGGUCCUAGACUACCUGAAUAAUAGCAUAAUAGUAGCUACGUACAGACUCUCGUCACCUUGUACGUACGUAGCGCCCACAAAUAGGUACACACAUUUAUUUAAUUCACCUAUGGGGUUAAUUCUCUCUUACAAGGUUAGAAAAGAGACUUAACUCGUCUCAAGGCCUGCUUUCCGGUUCAAGAUUUAUGUUCAAACCCGCAAAUCAGUCCCAAAAAAUCCAAAACUAUUCAACUAGUGUAAAAUCUAAUCAACAUAUGUUCAAAAGUUCAUAUUCUUACUAUUUAAGUGAUUACCCAUCCCUAAAUGUAAGGUUCCUAAAAUUUACCCCCAAGUUCACAUGCUCGGAUUCUGGAAAUUUUCUAAGAAAGUUGUUACUCAUAACCUUUGGAAUAUAAAUAUAUGAUUUUUAUCAAAUUCUAUAAUAUGUUUCGUGGUUAAAUCCCAUUUUUGUCAAACCCUUAGGUUUUCACCUAAGCCUAUAAUUUUCACUAAUUUACAUAUUAUAAAAUACCCAUAAACUAUGUAUUUAGCUCACAUUAUGUAGGAAUUACUUACCUCAAAGUGUUAGGUGAAAUGCCCUCUCUAAGAGCUCCAAGAAUCGCCCAAACAGUGAAAUAAAUAAGCUCAAAAUGCCUAAGUCUCGUAUCAAAUGAGGUUCCGCCUUCUGCAAUUUUUGCACCUGCGAAGGUUUGGCCGCAUCUACGGUCUUGCACCUGCAGAAAAAUGAUUGAAGGUUCCCAUUUUCGCUACCUGACCAAAUUCCGCAUUUGCGGACUCAAGGGACCGCACCAGCCUGCACCUGCGACCAUGAAUUUCGCACCUGCGGCCUUGUAGGUGCGCCAAAAUAGGCUGCCCUCACUCUUUCGCUUCUGUGGCUCGUGGCUCGCACCUGCGGAUGGCCAAGUCAAUGUGCGAUUAUGACAGAUACCUGAUGCUUCAGUUGUUGCUUCCCAAGUCCAAACUUGGUCCGAGCCUCGUUCGAUUAACACUCGGGCCCCCCAGGGCCUGCCUGAAUAUACCAUCAAUUUUGAAAUCAUAAAAUAGAUUCGUUUGAAUUCUCGGAACUCCCAAAACAACACUAAAACUAAGAAUCACGACCCCAAAAUCAAUUGAAUCAAACUUAUGAACUUCAAGUUCUUCAAUUUACCUCUAAUGCGCUGAAACAUCCUUACACUACUCGAAAUGACACCAAAUUUUGCUUGCAAGUCUUAAAUGAAAUUAUGGAACUAUUUGCGGUCUCGAAAUUCCAUUUGGACCUCGUUAUCACCAAAACUUUACAAACCAAAUUUAAAGAACUUCUAAAAUCUUCAAAGAACCAACUUUCACUGUUAAGCGUCAAAACGCUCCCGGAUCAUCCAAAACCCAAUCCAAACAUACGAUCAUGUCCGAAAUCAUCAUACGAACCUAUUGGGCCCGUCAAAUCUCAAUUUUAAGUUCAUUUACUCAAAAUUUUGACCGAAGUCAAACUUAGCCUUUUAAGUCAACUUAAGGAACCAAGUGUUCCGAUUUCAACCCGAACUCUUCCAAAUCCCAAACUAACCGUCUCCACAAGCCAUAAAUUAGUAAAGUAUGUACGGAAAGUCUUAUUUAGGGGAACGAGGUUCUAGAAAGCAAAAUGACCGGUCGGAUCGUUACAUUAAUCCUGAACAAAAAUAGUCACUACUCUAUUAAAAUUAAUACAAAAAGAUGGUUUUACCUUUUCUUCAUGAGUGUUGUGUAAAUAUUAAGAACAUGGAGUCCUUAAUAUUUAUACAGCACUCAUGAAGUUAAGGAUAUGAUGUCCUAAAGUUUAACAACAGAAGGUGCAAAUGUAGGGCACUUUGUCCUUAAUAUUUACACAACACUUAUUGUCACACCUCCUUUUUACACCCCGAGAGGGUAUAUAAGGGAGUUUUUCCAAUUAAUGUGACAUUAUUUGAAAUAAGAUUAUUUAUUUAAUUCAUAGAGUUACCACUUGGAAUAUUUUAAUUAGUGCCCCAAGUCACCGGUUUAUUUUUAAAUCCCAAAUCGAGGAAAUUUUGACUUUCCUUUUGAAGUCUGCGAACCAGAAAUUCUAGCUAAGGAAUUUUGUUAACCCGGGAGAAGGUGUUAGACAUUCCCGUGUUCCGUGGUUCUAGCAUGGUCGCUUAGCAAUUUAUACUUGGCUUAAUUGUUUAACUACUCAUUUUUAAAACCUAUGUGCAAUUAUCUUUUUACCACUUUUAUUUGAAACGAAUCACAUGUACAUGUACUCAUUUUGUUUGGCGCGUCAAAAAUCAUGUCACGCGAACGUGUUCAUAAUUAAUAACGCUUUAUUAUUAUUACUAACGAAGUUUAACCGAAGUUGCGCGUACGCAUACCUCGAUUUAUUUUGAAAAAUCAUAACUAUGUUACGCGAACAUGUACACAAUCACAAUAGAUGAUUAGGAGCUUGAGGAAACGAAUAGAGUUAUUCCAACAAAGUCACAAUAAAGUUAACGUAAAAACAAAGACUAACAUGUGAUAAAUUCUCUAUGAAAACUUGAAAUCAUCAAAUUAGUAGUUUGUUCAUGUACGACUAAUAUACUACAUAAGUCGAAUUAACUUUUCAAACUUCACUAUCAAUCAAACGAAAGGCCCUUAAUUUCAGAAGUUCAAAAGAAAAAGUUCUACAUAAGAAUUCAAAAAUCCACUUAACUAUUCGAAUUGUAUAACUUGAUAAUAAUUUUCUUUAACAAACCAACUUCAACCAUUGACCUCGUAGUUUUUUCACUAAAAUUAGUAUAAUACAAAGUCAGAUAAACAUCUUUUACAAAGAAAUAUUACCUUCUUUUAUGAAGUCAAAUUCUUAGCCCUAACAAAGGGCCCCACUUAAUUAAUUGCAUGCCACAAAAUUAGACGUAAAGAGGGAUAUGUUUUCAAACAAUACUUAAAUCAGUUUUUUACAAAAUAAGCAUGUAAAUUAUGACAACACAUUUAAUUAAAACAAAUAGCUAAAGCAUUGACAUGAGAUUAUGGGAAUCAGUAGAUGAAUUGAAGAAAAGAACGGACCUCUUAGGAUAAACUUUCUUCAACAUUGAUAAAAUAAAUUUCCAAGGUUGAAUUACAGGAGAAAAAUGCCGACUACUACUCGACGGGGAACAGGAGGUCAACCAGAGUUCAAAAACUCGCCGGAUCCAGAUCGCGGAUGAAUGAGGACCUCACUAGAACUUUAGACAGAGCUACGAUAGAACCAUGACGAGAUCAUGGAAAACUCGCCGUAAAGCUCGCCGGAGUUCAAACGGAGACAUCACUUAAACUCAAACUAUUUUUGAUGAUUUAACGUCUGUUUGUGAAAUGGUUGUUUGUUCUGGGCUAGGAUGAAGCCAUGGCAGAUUUUCUCGUUUUUUAUUGAAGGAGACGAUGAAGGGGGGGUCUUCUUUUGGAGUUAUACGGCAUUAUUGUUUCUUCGGAGUCUAGGUUUUCUUUUUCAGCUUUUUCCUUAGCUCCCUAGGUCUCUUAGGUGUUCAGGUCAGCCUUGUUUUGUCUUUGUAUCUUCUUUUUUUUUGCUUUUUUCUUUGAUCUCUUUAGAAAACGGCGGAUCAGUAAGUUUUUUAGGGGCAGGUCAAU